Molecule: ribosomal RNA, 422 nt
Filed under: uncultured bacterium
Lineage: Bacteria
Description: bacterial SSU rRNA
Rfam family: Bacterial small subunit ribosomal RNA
Source: RNAcentral
UGAGGAAUAUUGGACAAUGGGUGGAAGCCUGAUCCAGCCAUCCCGCGUGAAGGAUGACGGUUCUAUGGAUUGUAAACUUCUUUUGUACAGGGAUAAACCUGCCCUCGUGAGGGCAGCUGAAGGUACUGUACGAAUAAGCACCGGCUAACUCCGUGCCAGCAGCCGCGGUAAUACGGAGGGUGCGAGCGUUAUCCGGAUUUAUUGGGUUUAAAGGGUCCGUAGGCGGGCCUGUAAGUCAGUGGUGAAAUCUCAUAGCUUAACUAUGAAACUGCCAUUGAUACUGCAGGCCUUGAGUAAAUUUGAAGUCGCUGGAAUAAGUAGUGUAGCGGUGAAAUGCAUAGAUAUUACUUAGAACACCGAUUGCGAAGGCAGGUCACUAAGAUUUAACUGACGCUGAUGGACGAAAGCGUGGGGAGCGAACA